Molecule: ribosomal RNA, 497 nt
Filed under: uncultured bacterium
Lineage: Bacteria
Description: bacterial SSU rRNA
Rfam family: Bacterial small subunit ribosomal RNA
Source: RNAcentral
GACGAACGCUGGCGGCGUGCUUAACACAUGCAAGUCGAGCGGAAAGGCCCUUUCGGGGGUACUCGAGCGGCGAACGGGUGAGUAACACGUGAGUAAUCUGCCCUGGACUUCGGGAUAGCUUCGGGAAACCGAGAUUAAUACCGGAUAUGACAUUGUCUCGCAUGGGAUGGUGUGGAAAGUUUUUUCGGUUCAGGAUGUGCUCGCGGCCUAUCAGCUUGAUGGUGGGGUAAUGGCCUACCAUGGCUUUGACGGGUAGCCGGCCUGAGAGGGUGACCGGUCACACUGGGACUGAGACACGGCCCAGACUCCUACGGGAGGCAGCAGUGGGGAAUAUUGGACAAUGGGCGGAAGCCUGAUCCAGCAACGCCGCGUGAGGGAUGACGGCCUUCGGGUUGUAAACCUCUUUCAGCACAGACGAAGCCUUGUCUUUUUGGGUGGGGUGACGGUAUGUGCAGAAGAAGCACCGGCCAACUACGUGCCAGCAGCCGCCGUAACAC